CGGGGCGUAGCUCAGCCUGGUAGAGCGGCUGCUUUGGGAGCAGCAGGCCGCUGGUUCGAAUCCAGUCGCCCCGACCA
RNAcentral lists this transfer RNA (77 nucleotides) under Alphaproteobacteria bacterium. Its description in RNAcentral is "tRNA-Pro". It matches the Rfam family "tRNA". Rfam says of the family: Transfer RNA (tRNA) molecules are approximately 80 nucleotides in length. Their secondary structure includes four short double-helical elements and three loops (D, anti-codon, and T loops). Further hydrogen bonds mediate the characteristic L-shaped molecular structure. tRNAs have two regions of fundamental functional importance: the anti-codon, which is responsible for specific mRNA codon recognition, and the 3' end, to which the tRNAs corresponding amino acid is attached (by aminoacyl-tRNA synthetases). tRNAs cope with the degeneracy of the genetic code in two manners: having more than one tRNA (with a specific anti-codon) for a particular amino acid; and 'wobble' base-pairing, i.e. permitting non-standard base-pairing at the 3rd anti-codon position. Lineage: Bacteria; Pseudomonadati; Pseudomonadota; Alphaproteobacteria. The record is from RNAcentral.